This 253-nucleotide ribosomal RNA is filed under the name uncultured bacterium. Its description in RNAcentral is "partial 16S ribosomal RNA". It matches the Rfam family "Bacterial small subunit ribosomal RNA", at positions 524 to 776 of the family's 1533-position model. The record is from RNAcentral.
UACGUAGGGUGCAAGCGUUGCCCGGAUUUAUUGGGCGUAAAGGGCGCGUAGGCGGUUCGGCACGUCCGUGGGGAAAUCGCCCGGCUCAACUGGGCGGGGUCGGCGGAUACGGCCGAGCUGGAGCAAGCUAGGGGGUAAUGGAAUUCCCGGUGUAGUGGUGGAAUGCGUAGAUAUCGGGAGGAACACCAGUGGCGAAGGCGGUUACCUGGAGCUUUGCUGACGCUGAUGCGCGAAAGCGUGGGGAGCGAUCCGG